UACGUAGGGUGCAAGCGUUGUCCGGAAUUAUUGGGCGUAAAGAGCUCGUAGGCGGUCUGUCGCGUCUGCUGUGAAAACCCGAGGCUCAACCUCGGGCCUGCAGUGGGUACGGGCAGACUAGAGUGCGGUAGGGGGAGAUUGGAAUUCCUGGUGUAGCGGUGGAAUGCGCAGAUAUCAGGAGGAACACCAAUGGCGAAGGCAGAUCUCUGGGCCGUAACUGACGCUGAGGAGCGAAAGCAUGGGGAGCGAACAGG
Molecule: ribosomal RNA, 254 nt
Filed under: uncultured bacterium
Lineage: Bacteria
Description: partial 16S ribosomal RNA
Rfam family: Bacterial small subunit ribosomal RNA
Source: RNAcentral